This 1109-nucleotide long non-coding RNA is filed under the name Coturnix japonica (Japanese quail). Its description in RNAcentral is "lncRNA (ENSCJPG00005019092.1)". Lineage: Eukaryota; Metazoa; Chordata; Aves; Galliformes; Phasianidae. The record is from RNAcentral.
AUUUAAUAAAGAAAAAUAGUAAAAUAAAGUUGUGGGGCCUCAUGAAAUGCACUGAGGAUUUCAGACUGCAGAGUUAGGCAGUGGAGCACCCUCACCCCACAGAGUCUUGAGAGGAUGUAGAACUUGGGUAGAGCCUGGUGUGUAGGCAUCGUGGGUCCAGCUGCUCUAGUUUCUGUGUCAGGGGGAAGAGGCAUUUGUUGAUGUAUCCCAGCAGAAAUGAAGGUACUUGGCUUUCUGACUUUUUCACAAAAAUGCAGGAAAUCCCAUUCUCCCUGUAUAUAUUGGAUGCAUUCAACUUCUUCCACCAUUCUGUGGCAGAAUCCUCUCCUGCACCGUGGAUACCACAAACACAAAAAUGUCCUCCUUGUUUGCAAGCAAUUGUGUUGGCACCUAGGGGGCAGAGUUCGGUUCACUCUUGGCUCAAAGAGAAUGUCUCCAGAGAUAGGCUUCCUGGCUCUGAGGUGCUGGCUUGGCCAUUUCUUCCACGACACAUAGCCAGUGAAGAAGCCUUUUCCCUGUACUUGUACAGAGGUGAUGCAACGAAUCCCAGGUGUGUGAAACUUAGAGGCAGUCAUAUCUUAUAAGCUCCUGAAGAUACUGUUGGCUUUGUUAGGCAGCACCACACAGGUUAUACUUUAUUCCAUGUGGUCUGCACCUCAAAAAACUCCUUCGGCUCCCACAGUGAAUCAAAUCAAGUUUCAGCACUAAACUAAGAAACCAAAGUUCUAACUAGUGAAAAACGACAUUUUUCCCUCCGGAACUUUAAAGUCAGUUAACAGCUUUCUUGAGUGCAUGUACAUGACGCUACUUAGUUCCCCAUUAGAAGAAAAAGAGGAAAAAGCUGAACAGUAAACAUUACCUGGCAUAUGUACAAUGUUCUGACCUAAACAGUAGGUGACUCCCGAGCUGUGGCUCUCUUUGUGUCACUGAAGUCUCUGUUUUAUGUUCUGUUGUUAGUUUUUACAAUAGAACUUCCAGAUAGACCAAUUUACAUCACUAAAAAGCUACAUCUUGGAUUUGUGUUGUUUCUGCAUGCUGAAGACAGUAUUGCUACAUCUUUCUUACUGCCUUUAAAUAAACUUAGUUGGUUCCAGGUGUUAAUUAAUAUG